Molecule: ribosomal RNA, 457 nt
Filed under: uncultured bacterium
Lineage: Bacteria
Description: bacterial SSU rRNA
Rfam family: Bacterial small subunit ribosomal RNA
Source: RNAcentral
GACGAACGCUGGCGGCGUGCUUAACACAUGCAAGUCGAACGGGAGUAUUGAAGAAGCUUGCUUUAGAGAUACUUUAGUGGCGGACGGGUGAGUAACGCGUGAGGAGCUGUCCUAUGCAGGGGGACAACAGCUGGAAACGGCUGCUAAUACCCCAUAAGCCGAGAGGUAAAAGGAUCAAUCCGGCAGAGGAGGUACUCGCGUCCUAUCAGCUGGUUGGUGGGGUAACGGCCCACCAAGCCAAUGACGGGUAGCCGGCCUGAGAGGGUGUACGGCCACACUGGAACUGAGACACGGUCCAGACUCCUACGGGAGGCAGCAGCUAGGAAUUUUCCGCAAUGGGCGAAAGCCUGACGGAGCGACGCCGCGUAAGGGAAGAAGGCUCUACGGAGUUGUAAACCUUUUUUAACAGGGAAGAGACAGGACGGUACCUGUGGAAUAAGCCCCGGCAAACUACGUG